This 429-nucleotide ribosomal RNA is filed under the name Bacillota bacterium. RNAcentral's name for it is "Firmicutes bacterium partial 16S ribosomal RNA". It matches the Rfam family "Bacterial small subunit ribosomal RNA", at positions 355 to 776 of the family's 1533-position model. Lineage: Bacteria; Bacillati; Bacillota. The record is from RNAcentral.
UAGGGAAUCUUCGGCAAUGGACGGAAGUCUGACCGAGCAACGCCGCGUGAGUGAAGAAGGUUUUCGGAUCGUAAAGCUCUGUUGUUAGAGAAGAACGUUGGUAGGAGUGGAAAAUCUACCAAGUGACGGUAACUAACCAGAAAGGGACGGCUAACUACGUGCCAGCAGCCGCGGUAAUACGUAGGUCCCGAGCGUUGUCCGGAUUUAUUGGGCGUAAAGCGAGCGCAGGCGGUUCUUUAAGUCUGAAGUUAAAGGCAGUGGCUUAACCAUUGUAGUCUUUGGAAACUGGAGGACUUGAGUGCAAAAGGGGAGAGUGGAAUUCCAUGUGUAGCGGUGAAAUGCGUAGAUAUAUGGAGGAACACCGGUGGCGAAAGCGGCUCUCUGGUCUGUAACUGACGCUGAGGCUCGAAAGCGUGGGGAGCAAACAGG